RNAcentral lists this ribosomal RNA (214 nucleotides) under Alphaproteobacteria bacterium. Its description in RNAcentral is "partial 23S ribosomal RNA". It matches the Rfam family "Bacterial large subunit ribosomal RNA", at positions 2700 to 2925 of the family's 2925-position model. Lineage: Bacteria; Pseudomonadati; Pseudomonadota; Alphaproteobacteria. The record is from RNAcentral.
GACACACCUCUGGUGGACCUGUUGUUGCGCCAGCAGCAUUGCAGGGUAGCUAUGUGUGGACAGGAUAACCGCUGAAAGCAUCUAAGCGGGAAACCCCCCUCAAGAUAAGUUCUCCCUUAAGAGCCGUGGAAGACCACCACGUUGAUAGGCUGGAUGUGGAAGUGCAGUAAUGUAUGAAGCUGACCAGUACUAAUUACUCAAUCGACUUGAAAUC